GGGGGCGAAAAGGAUUCGACGGGGAUAUUGAAGCUGAUGUUGCAUGCCGAGUUGCUGCCGUCUCGUAAAACUGGCGGAACUAAAUAUAAUCGCAGACGAUUAUAACUACGCGCUCGCCGCUUGACCGCGGCUGACGCCGUUCCACCGGCCCUCGCCCACUGGGCCGGAUUCGGAGCGUCGACUUGGUGGGCUGGCCUGAAGCGGGUGUCUGAACUGCAACAGGCGAGAUUUUUUCAGACUGGCAGCGGUUUCUCCUGUUUCGGGUGAGCGCCCGCUGCGAGAUUAUGACCCGGAACUACGCAUGUAGAGACAGAAGGGGAGAAUUUCCGGACGCGGGUUCAACUCCCGCCGCCUCCACCA
RNAcentral lists this transfer-messenger RNA (360 nucleotides) under Desulfobulbus oralis. Its description in RNAcentral is "Standard tmRNA". It matches the Rfam family "transfer-messenger RNA". From Rfam's summary of the family: Bacterial tmRNA, also known as 10Sa RNA or SsrA, is named for its dual tRNA and mRNA-like properties. Its role is to liberate the mRNA from a stalled ribosome. Lineage: Bacteria; Pseudomonadati; Thermodesulfobacteriota; Desulfobulbia; Desulfobulbales; Desulfobulbaceae. The record is from Rfam by way of RNAcentral.